GUGGGGAAUCUUGCGCAAUGGGCGAAAGCCUGACGCAGCCAUGCCGCGUGAAUGAUGAAGGUCUUAGGAUUGUAAAAUUCUUUCACCGGGGACGAUAAUGACGGGACCCGGAGAAGAAGCCCCGGCUAACUUCGUGCCAGCAGCCGCGGUAAUACGAAGGGGGCUAGCGUUGCUCGGAAUUACUGGGCGUAAAAGGCGCGUAGGCGGACAGUUUAGUCAGAGGUGAAAGCCCAGGGCUCAACCUUGGAAUUGCCUUUGAUACUGGCUGUCUUGAGUACGGGAGAGGUGAGUGGAACUCCGAGUGUAGAGGUGAAAUUCGUAGAUAUUCGGAAGAACACCAGUGGCGAAGGCGACUCACUGGCCCGUUACUGACGCUGAGGCGCGAAAGCGUGGGGAGCAAACAGGAUUAGAUACCCGGGUAGUCC
Molecule: ribosomal RNA, 425 nt
Filed under: uncultured bacterium
Lineage: Bacteria
Description: partial 16S ribosomal RNA
Rfam family: Bacterial small subunit ribosomal RNA
Source: RNAcentral